This 284-nucleotide long non-coding RNA is filed under the name Nicotiana benthamiana. RNAcentral's name for it is "long non-coding RNA (NBEN_LNC024738)". The record is from RNAcentral. Lineage: Eukaryota; Viridiplantae; Streptophyta; Magnoliopsida; Solanales; Solanaceae.
CCCCGUGUUAGAUGUACUUCCUCUUUCUUCCUUUCAACUCUUGUAACAUAAAUUCCUCCUCCACCUUUGCCUGAAGUUUCUCCCUUACCUACUCCAUCUGCUUCUAUUCCUAUACCUGCUCCAUCUGCUCCUAUUCCCUCUUCAGCUAUUAUCACUUCUUCAACUACUCCUCCCUCAGUAGUUCCUCCUUCUAUUGUUCAUCAUACAGAAGCGGGUUCAACGAGCAAAAGUGCUUCCAUGAGGAGCGUGACUAUUGAAGUUCCCACCACCAACAGUAUUUUGAG